CUUUGGGGCAUGCUAAAACAUGCAGUCGAGCGGAACGAUGGGAGCUUGCUCCCAGGCGUCGAGCGGCGGAGGGGUGAGUAACACGUGGGAAUCGGCCCAUUAAUGGGGGAUAACUCGGGGAAACUCGAGCUAAUACCGCAUAAUCCCUACGGGGGAAAGCGGGGGAUCUUCGGACCUUGCUCUGAUGGAUGAUCCCGCGUCGGAUUAGCUUGUUGGUGGGGUAAUGGCCCACCAGGGCGACGAUCCGUAACUGGUCUGAGAGGAUGGCCAGUCACACCGGGACUGAGACACGGCCCGGACUCCUACGGGAGGCAGCAGUGGGGAAUCUUGGACAAUGGGCGCAAGCCUGAUCCAUCGCAUGGCCGUGCAGUGGUAGUGGAAAGAAGGUCCUGUCGGGUAGAUAACAUGUCAACUUUCAGUGAAGGAGGAAGGCAUUACCUUGUGGCUAAUUACCCGUGGGAGCUACUUGAGCGUUCACCUAGCAGAAAGAAAGCACGCGGAUAAUUUUCGUCGCCACAGCAGGCCCGCGGGUAAAUAACGAAAGAUGGGUCGACGAGCGUUACAUCCGGAAAUUACUGGGGCGUAAGAGCGCGGCGGUAGUGCGUGUGUGUUUAAAGUCGGGAUGUGAAAAGCACAGGCGCUACAACCUGUGAGAAGUCGCAUCCAGAAUACUGGGCACGCUAGAGUAGCAGUAGAGAGGAGGGUAGAUAUCUUCCCGGUGUAGCCGGUGAAAGUGCGUAGAGAUCGGGAAGGGAACACCAGUGGCGAAGGCGGCCUCCGUGGACUGACACUGACGCUGAGGUGAGAAAGCGUGGGAGAGCAAACAGGAUUAGAUACCCGUGGUAGUACCACGCCGUAAACGAUGUCUACUAGCCGUUGGGGUCCGUUAGUGACUUUGCUGGCCGCAGCUAACGCGAUAAGUAGACCGCCUGGGGCAGUACGGCCGACAACGUUUAAAACUCAAAUGAACUCGACGGGAGGUCCAGCACAAGCCGGUGGCAGCAUGUGUGUUUCAUAUUCGAUGCAACGCGAAGAACCUUACCAGGCCUUGACAUCUCUGCGAACUUUCUAGAGAUACAUUGAUGCCUUCGGGAGCGCUAGUGACGAGCUGAUGCAUAGCUGUCGUCAGCUCGUGUCGUGAGAUGUUCGGGUUAAGUCCCGGUAACGAGCGCAACCCUUGUCUUUAGUUGCCCGCACUUCGGGUGGGAACUCUAGGGAGACUGCCGGUGACAAACCGGAGGAAGGUGGGGACGACGUCAAGUCAUCAUGGCCCUUACGGCCUGGGCUACACACGUGCUACAAUGGUUGGUACAGAGGGUUGCGAAGUCGCGAGGCGGAGCUAAUCUCUCAAAGCCAAUCGUAGUCCGGAUUGGAGUCUGCAACUCGACUCCAUGAAGUCGGAAUCGCUAGUAAUCGCGGAUCAGAAUGCCGCGGUGAAUACGUUCCCGGGCCUUGUACACACCGCCCGUCACACCAUGGGAGUGUGAUUGCACCAGAAGUAGUUAGUCGUAACCUUCGGGAGGCCGCAUACCACGGUGUGUUCCCAAGUGG
RNAcentral lists this ribosomal RNA (1551 nucleotides) under Alcanivorax sp. GI-CMST1. RNAcentral's name for it is "bacterial SSU rRNA". It matches the Rfam family "Bacterial small subunit ribosomal RNA". Lineage: Bacteria; Pseudomonadati; Pseudomonadota; Gammaproteobacteria; Oceanospirillales; Alcanivoracaceae. The record is from RNAcentral.